This 503-nucleotide ribosomal RNA is filed under the name uncultured bacterium. RNAcentral's name for it is "partial 16S ribosomal RNA". It matches the Rfam family "Bacterial small subunit ribosomal RNA", at positions 30 to 523 of the family's 1533-position model. The record is from RNAcentral.
AUUGAACGCUGGCGGCAGGCUUAACACAUGCAAGUCGAGCGGGGGGAGGUAGCUUGCUACCGGACCUAGCGGCGGACGGGUGAGUAAUGCUUAGGAAUCUGCCUAUUAGUGGGGGACAACAUCUCGAAAGGGAUGCUAAUACCGCAUACGUCCUACGGGAGAAAGCAGGGGAUCACUUGUGACCUUGCGCUAAUAGAUGAGCCUAAGUCGGAUUAGCUAGUUGGUGGGGUAAAGGCCUACCAAGGCGACGAUCUGUAGCGGGUCUGAGAGGAUGAUCCGCCACACUGGGACUGAGACACGGCCCAGACUCCUGCGGGAGGCAGCAGUGGGGAAUAUUGGACAAUGGGGGGAACCCUGAUCCAGCCAUGCCGCGUGUGUGAAGAAAGCCUUAUGGUUGUAAAGCACUUUAAGCGAGGAGGAGGCUCUUUUGGUUAAUACCCAAGAUGAGUGGACGUUACUCGCAGAAUAAGCACCGGCUAACUCUGUGCCAGCAGCCGCAGUAA